UACGUAGGUGGCUAGCGUUGUCCGGAUUUACUGGGCGUAAAGAGCGCGCAGGCGGUCGUUCAAGUCGAGUGUGAAAGCCCCCGGCUCAACUGGGGAGGGUCACUCGAUACUGAUCGACUCGAAGGCAGGAGAGGGAAGCGGAAUUCCUGGUGUAGCGGUGGAAUGCGCAGAUAUCAGGAGGAACACCGGUGGCGAAGGCGGGUCUCUGGGCAGUAACUGACGCUGAGGAGCGAAAGCGUGGGGAGCGAACAGG
RNAcentral lists this ribosomal RNA (253 nucleotides) under uncultured bacterium. Its description in RNAcentral is "partial 16S ribosomal RNA". It matches the Rfam family "Bacterial small subunit ribosomal RNA", at positions 524 to 776 of the family's 1533-position model. The record is from RNAcentral.